AGGGACCUGGGGACUUGUGCAGUAUCGCCCAGAUGCCUGGAGAUUUGGACAAGCUGGCGUCGCAUGGAGAAUCAGUUGUUUGGAGACAGCUGGAGUGUCUGAAGCUCUGCAUCAUCUCAUCUCUCCUCCGCAAACUUUUCUCUCCCUGGAGAGUUUUCAUUUCCAUGAUUUUUUAGCCAGACAGAAGAGGGUUUUUCUUCUGGGAAUUGCCUGCCUGAUACUGCCAUUCUCUUUUUGCCACAUCUGCAGUGUCACCAUCUCCCUGACUGCAACAGGAGAGUGUUCAAGCUGGCUGCCAUGGUCAGGAUUGACAGAAUCUUGUCUGGAAAUUGCUGGACAAGAAAGGAGUGCUGAGAAGUGCAGGAAACAUGAGGAAAUGCAGAAUCCCCAUAAAAGGAAGGGCAGGAGAGAAGCCAUGAAUCACCACAGGGCAGUGAGCUGGAGGACUGCAAGACAUCCUUUCUGCAGAGAUUGAACUAGGAGGAGCUGCAGCCAUCCUGAAGCAGUGUGAGGUGCCUUUGGCCUCCUGUGUCCUGGGAGAGGUCAGGAGGAGGUUCGAGUGGCUGAGUGCUUCCCUCCAUCAAGCUACACUGCGUUUCUCAACCUGCUCCUUGCCAGGCUGAAGAACGUGGGCACAUCCUGACUAAAAUCUGAGAGCAUGACAGUGUGCCAGACAACUAGACAACUGCAAUUUUUUGCAUCAAGUAGUUUUAUUUAUUGCUGUUUUGAAAACCUGAGAACACCCAUGGAUCUGCUGCUGCUUUCUCCAACAGCACCAGCCACAAAAGGAGCCAGCUGCCAAGAAAAAUAAAAACACUAAUCCCUCAAAGCCUCUAGCAGUCCUGGCUUUCAAUCCUUGCCCGUCACAGCACAGGAGAC
Pogoniulus pusillus (Red-fronted tinkerbird) is the source of this 879-nucleotide long non-coding RNA. RefSeq lists it as uncharacterized. The transcript is spliced from 5 exons. The record is from RefSeq and is a predicted model, not a curated record. Lineage: Eukaryota; Metazoa; Chordata; Aves; Piciformes; Lybiidae.